Molecule: ribosomal RNA, 517 nt
Filed under: uncultured Mycobacterium sp.
Lineage: Bacteria; Bacillati; Actinomycetota; Actinomycetes; Mycobacteriales; Mycobacteriaceae
Description: bacterial SSU rRNA
Rfam family: Bacterial small subunit ribosomal RNA
Source: RNAcentral
UAGAGUUUGAUCAUGGCUCAGGACGAACGCUGGCGGCGUGCUUAACACAUGCAAGUCGAACGGAAAGGCCCCUUCGGGGGUGCUCGAGUGGCGAACGGGUGAGUAACACGUGGGUGAWCUGCCCUGCACUUCGGGAUAAGCUUGGGAAACUGGGUCUAAUACCGGAUAGGACCAUGCUAUGCAUGUGGUGUGGUGGAAAGCUUUUGCGGUGUGGGAUGGGCCCGCGGCCUAWCAGCUUGUUGGUGGGGUGAUGGCCUACCAAGGCGACGACGGGUAGCCGGCCUGAGAGGGUGUCCGGCCACACUGGGACUGAGAUACGGCCCAGACUCCUACGGGAGGCAGCAGUGGGGAAUAUUGCACKAAUGGGCGCAAGCCUGAUGCAGCGACGCCGCGUGGGGGAUGACGGCCUUCGGGUUGUAAACCUCUUUCACCAUCGACGAAGGCCUGCUUUUGGGUGGGUUGACGGUAGGUGGAGAAGAAGCWCCGGCCAACUACGUGCCWGCCGCCGCGGKAAUUC